GACGAACGCUGGCGGCGUGCUUAACACAUGCGAGUCGAACGGAAAGGCCCUGCUUGCAGGGUACUCGAGUGGCGAACGGGUGAGUAACACGUGGGUGAUCUGCCCUGCACUUCGGGAUAAGCCUGGGAAACUGGGUCUAAUACCGGAUAGGAGCCAUUUUUAGUGUGAUGGUUGGAAAGUUUUUUCGGUGUAGGAUGAGCUCGCGGCCUAUCAGCUUGUUGGUGGGGUAAUGGCCUACCAAGGCGGCGACGGGUAGCCGGCCUGAGAGGGUGGACGGCCACAUUGGGACUGAGAGACGGCCCAGACUCCUACGGGAGGCAGCAGUGGGGAAUAUUGCACAAUGGGCGCAAGCCUGAUGCAGCGACGCCGCGUGGGGGAUGACGGCCUUCGGGUUGUAAACUCCUUUCGCUAGGGACGAAGCUUUUUGUGACGGUACCUAGAUAAGAAGCACCGGCUAACUACGUG
This 465-nucleotide ribosomal RNA is filed under the name uncultured bacterium. RNAcentral's name for it is "partial 16S ribosomal RNA". It matches the Rfam family "Bacterial small subunit ribosomal RNA", at positions 28 to 507 of the family's 1533-position model. The record is from RNAcentral.